GGGUCAGUAGGUUGGUCGUGCCACCGGUACGUACUGGUCUCACUGAUUCCUCCUUCCUGAAUAACCGUAAUGCCAUUAAUUUGGUGUUGCGGGGAAACAGGACUGUUACUUUGAAAAGAUUAGAGUGUUUAAAGCAAGCUAACGCUUGAAUACAUUAGCAUGGAAUAAUGAAAUAGGACGAUCGAUCCUAUUUUGUUGGUUUCUAGGAUUGACGUA
RNAcentral lists this ribosomal RNA (216 nucleotides) under Glomeromycotina sp. RNAcentral's name for it is "partial small subunit ribosomal RNA". The stretch from base 40 to 216 matches the Rfam family "Eukaryotic small subunit ribosomal RNA", at positions 686 to 864 of the family's 1831-position model. Lineage: Eukaryota; Fungi; Glomeromycota. The record is from RNAcentral.